This 72-nucleotide transfer RNA is filed under the name Sus scrofa (pig). It matches the Rfam family "tRNA". Rfam says of the family: Transfer RNA (tRNA) molecules are approximately 80 nucleotides in length. Lineage: Eukaryota; Metazoa; Chordata; Mammalia; Artiodactyla; Suidae. The record is from Rfam by way of RNAcentral.
UCCUUGGUAGCCUAGUGGUUAGGAUUAGGCACUUUCACUGCUAUGGCCUGGGUUCGAUCCCUGGUCUGGGAG